CGUAGGGCGCAAGCGUUGUCCGGAUUCACUGGGUGUAAAGGGUGCGCAGGCGGGAAGGUAAGUUAGAGGUGAAAUCUCACGGCUCAACCGUGAAACUGCCUUUGAUACUGCUUUUCUUGAGUUAGGGAGAGGUUGAUGGAAUUCCAGGUGUAGCGGUGAAAUGCGUAGAUAUCUGGAAGAACACCGGUGGCGAAGGCGGUCAACUGGCCCUAAACUGACGCUCAGGCACGAAAGCGUGGGGAUCAAACAGGAUUAGAUACCCUGGUAGUCCACGCCCUAAACGAUGAAUACUUGGUGUUGGCCUUUUUUGGUCAGUGCCGAAGGUAACCUGAUAAGUAUUCCACCUGGGGAGUACGCUCGCAAGGGUG
This 368-nucleotide ribosomal RNA is filed under the name uncultured organism. RNAcentral's name for it is "bacterial SSU rRNA". It matches the Rfam family "Bacterial small subunit ribosomal RNA", at positions 526 to 896 of the family's 1533-position model. The record is from RNAcentral.